RNAcentral lists this ribosomal RNA (505 nucleotides) under uncultured bacterium. Its description in RNAcentral is "bacterial SSU rRNA". It matches the Rfam family "Bacterial small subunit ribosomal RNA", at positions 791 to 1294 of the family's 1533-position model. The record is from RNAcentral.
UAGUCCACGCCGUAAACGAUGAGUGCUAGAUGUCGGGAGAUUUACUCUCGGUUUCGCAGCUAACGCAUUAAGCACUCCGCCUGGGGACUACGAUCGCAAGAUUAAAACUCAAAGGAAUUGACGGGGGCUCGCACAAGUGGUGGAGCAUGCGGUUUAAUUCGAUGCUACGCGAAAAACCUUACCAACUCUUGACAUGGUGGUCGCGAAUCACAGAGAUGAGAUUCUUCAGUUCGGCUGGACCACACACAGGUGUUGCAUGGCUGUCGUCAGCUCGUGUCGUGAGAUGUUGGGUUAAGUCCCGCAACGAGCGAAACCCUCAUCCUUAUUUGCCAGCGAUUCGGUCGGGGACUAUAAGGAAACUGCCGGUGAUAAACCGGAGGAAGGUGGGGACGAUGUCAAGUCAUCAUGGCCCUUACGGGUUGGGCUACACGCGUGCUACAAUGGUAUUUACAGAGGGAUGCAAUACGGCGACGUGGAGCAAAUCCUCAAAAAAUAUACUCAGUUC